Molecule: long non-coding RNA, 255 nt
Filed under: Mytilus galloprovincialis (Mediterranean mussel)
Lineage: Eukaryota; Metazoa; Mollusca; Bivalvia; Mytilida; Mytilidae
Source: RNAcentral
UGGGGUAUAGAAAUAUGGUCACUUGGUCUUCUCCCGACCGGCAGUAAAAAGCUUGCCGAAGUGGGGCGUCCGUUUGGCUGUGCGGUAUGUAUCAAGUUCGCAGUCACGUCCGGUCAGAAGGGAGACGUUAAAUCCGAUACAUAGUGUAAAGAGAGUGCCACGCUCAUUGCACGUUUAGAACCUUUGCAACAACUCUUUGAGGGGUCUGUAGGUGGCCUGUUGCAAGGCAAAAUUUCUGUCCCUAUCCAAUAUACC